CAAUUUAGAGCUUGAAUAAGCAUCUUAGUUACAUUAAGAAGAAAAUUUUAAUAAUUUAAAUUGA
Molecule: transfer RNA, 64 nt
Filed under: Hippodamia convergens (convergent lady beetle)
Lineage: Eukaryota; Metazoa; Arthropoda; Insecta; Coleoptera; Coccinellidae
Description: tRNA-Val
Source: RNAcentral